Molecule: ribosomal RNA, 280 nt
Filed under: uncultured Pseudomonadota bacterium
Lineage: Bacteria; Pseudomonadati; Pseudomonadota
Description: uncultured proteobacterium partial 16S ribosomal RNA
Rfam family: Bacterial small subunit ribosomal RNA
Source: RNAcentral
CCUACGGGGGGCAGCAGUGGGGAAUUUUGGACAAUGGGGGCAACCCUGAUCCAGCAAUGCCGCGUGAGUGAAGAAGGCCUUCGGGUUGUAAAGCUCUUUUGUCAGGGAAGAAACAGCAGCUCUAACACAGUCUGCGAAUGACGGUACCUGAAGAAUAAGCACCGGCUAACUACGUGCCAGCAGCCGCGGUAAUACGUAGGGUGCGAGCGUUAAUCGGAAUUACUGGGCGUAAAGCGUGCGCAGGCGGUUAUACAAGACAGGCGUGAAAUCCCCGGGCUUA